This 259-nucleotide ribosomal RNA is filed under the name uncultured bacterium. Its description in RNAcentral is "partial 16S ribosomal RNA". It matches the Rfam family "Bacterial small subunit ribosomal RNA", at positions 96 to 354 of the family's 1533-position model. The record is from RNAcentral.
UGGCGGACGGGUGAGUAACGCGUGGAAAACCUGCCGUAUACUGGGGGAUAACACUUAGAAAUAGGUGCUAAUACCGCAUAAGCGCACAGCUUCGCAUGAAGCGGUGUGAAAAACUCUGGUGGUAUACGAUGGUUCCGCGUCUGAUUAGCUAGUUGGUGGGGUAAUGGCCUACCAAGGCAACGAAUCAGUAGCCGGCCUGAGAGGGUGAACGGCCACAUUGGGACUGAGACACGGCCCAAACUCCUACGGAAGGCAGCAG